This 304-nucleotide ribosomal RNA is filed under the name Typhlodromus exhilaratus. Its description in RNAcentral is "partial 12S ribosomal RNA". Lineage: Eukaryota; Metazoa; Arthropoda; Arachnida; Mesostigmata; Phytoseiidae. The record is from RNAcentral.
UUUUUUAAAAUUUUAGAGGAGUUUAUUCUAUAAUGGACUCAACCCCAAAACCUUACUUAACUUUGUAUUAUAUAAAUCAACUUGUAUACCUCUAUAGCUUAAAUAAAAAAAUUUAUUAUCAAAUCCUUAUAUAAGGAUUAAAUUAAGUCAAGGUGCAGUAUAUGAUUAAGAAUGAAAUAAACUAUAUUAAUAUAUUAUUAAAUCAAAAAUUAACUUUAAAUUAAAUUAAAUUAAGAAAAAUUUAAAAGUAAAUUUUAAUUAUACUUUAAAUUUGAAUAAAAAAUAAUGAGUGUACAUAUUGCCC